Molecule: non-coding RNA, 47 nt
Filed under: Schistosoma curassoni
Lineage: Eukaryota; Metazoa; Platyhelminthes; Trematoda; Strigeidida; Schistosomatidae
Source: RNAcentral
AUCCAGCUGACGCGUCCCAAAAACAAGACAAAACGCUCGUCCUAGAU